RNAcentral lists this ribosomal RNA (1239 nucleotides) under Stylosanthes yellows phytoplasma. RNAcentral describes it as "bacterial SSU rRNA". It matches the Rfam family "Bacterial small subunit ribosomal RNA", at positions 156 to 1393 of the family's 1533-position model. Lineage: Bacteria; Bacillati; Mycoplasmatota; Mollicutes; Acholeplasmatales; Acholeplasmataceae. The record is from RNAcentral.
ACGACUGCUAAGACUGGAUAGGAAGAUAAAAGGCAUCUUGUAUCUUUUAAAAGACCUAGUUAAUAGGUAUGCUUUAGGAGGGGCUUGCGCCAUAUUAGUUAGUUGGUAGGGUAAUGGCCUACCAAGACGAUGAUGUGUAGCUGGACUGAGAGGUUGAACAGCCACAUUGGGACUGAGACACGGCCCAAACUCCUACGGGAGGCAGCAGUAGGGAAUUUUCGGCAAUGGAGGAAACUCUGACCGAGCAACGCCGCGUGAAUGACGAAGUACUUCGGUAUGUAAAGUUCUUUUAUCGAGGAAGAAAAGCAAACGGCGAACCAUUUGUUUGCCGGUACUUGAUGAAUAAGCCCCGGCUAAUUAUGUGCCAGCAGCCGCGGUAAGACAUAAGGGGCAAGUGUUAUCCGGAAUUAUUGGGCGUAAAGGGUGCGUAGGCGGUCUAGUAAGUCAGUGGUGUAAUGGCUACGCUUAACGUUGUCCGGCUAUUGAAACUGCUAAACUUGAGUUAGAUAGAGGCGAGUGGAAUUCCAUGUGUAGCGGUAAAAUGCGUAAAUAUAUGGAGGAACACCAGAGGCGUAGGCGGCUCGCUGGGUCUUAACUGACGCUGAGGCACGAAAGCGUGGGGAGCAAACAGGAUUAGAUACCCUGGUAGUCCACGCCGUAAACGAUGAGUACUAAGUGUCGGGUUAAACCGGUACUGAAGUUAACACAUUAAGUACUCCGCCUGAGUAGUACGUACGCAAGUAUGAAACUUAAAGGAAUUGACGGGACUCCGCACAAGCGGUGGAUCAUGUUGUUUAAUUCGAAGAUACCCGAAAAACCUUACCAGGUCUUGACAUGUUUUUGCAAAAUGAUAGUAAUAUCGUGGAGGUUACCAGAAACACAGGUGGUGCAUGGUUGUCGUCAGCUCGUGUCGUGAGAUGUUAGGUUAAGUCCUAAAACGAGCGAAACCCUUAUCGUUAGUUGCCAGCACGUUAUGGUGGGGACUUUAACGAGACUGCCAAUGAUAAAUUGGAGGAAGGUGAGGAUCACGUCAAAUCAGCAUGCCCCUUAUGACCUGGGCUACAAACGUGAUACAAUGGCUGUUACAAAGGGUAGCUGAAACGCAAGUUCCUGGCCAAUCCCCAAAAACAGUCCCAGUCCGGAUUGAAGUCUGCAACUCGACUUCAUGAAGUUGGAAUCGCUAGUAAUCGCGAAUCAGCAUGUCGCGGUGAAUACGUUCGCGGGGUUUGUACACACCGC